This is a long non-coding RNA of Chiroxiphia lanceolata (lance-tailed manakin), 1893 nucleotides long. RefSeq lists it as uncharacterized. The record is from RefSeq and is a predicted model, not a curated record. The transcript is spliced from 3 exons. NCBI's taxonomy places the organism in Eukaryota, Metazoa, Chordata, Aves, Passeriformes, Pipridae.
ACCUGGCCCUCCAGCCAGUUCUUAACCCAGCAGAGAGUGCCCCUGUCCAAGCUGUGGGCUUCCAGCUUUUCCAGAAGUAUGGCAUGGGAGAUGGUAUCAAAGGCUUUGCUGAAGUCCAGGUAAACUACAUCCACAGCCUUCCCCUCAUCCACCAGACAGGUCACCUGGUCAUAAAAGGAGAUCAGGUUGGUCAGACAGGACCUGCCCCUCUUAAAUCCAUACUGGCUGGCUCUGAUCCCCUCUCUGUCCUAUAGGUACCGUGUGAUAGCACUGAAGAUGAUCUGUUCCAUAACCUUGCCAGGCACUGAGGUCAGGCUGACCAGCCUGUAGUUUCCCAGGUCUUCCUUCCAGCCCUUCUUGUGGAUGGCUGUCACACUGGCCAACUUCCAGUCAUGUGGGACUUUCAGUGGUAAUCCAGGACUGUUGAUAAAUGACGGAGAGCGGCUUGAUGAGCUCCCUCAUCACCCUGGGAUGGAUCCCAUCUGGUUCCAUAGACUUGUGAAGAUCCAAGUGGCUCAGCAGGUCACUAACUUCCUCCUGGAUUACAGGGGGGUUGUUUGGCUCCCCAUCCUUGUCUACCAGCUCAGGAGGCCAGUUGUCCUGAGGAUGACCUGUCUUGUUGAAAACUGAGGCAAAAAGGUGUUAAGUACUCAGCCUUGUCUUUGGUAAUUAUGUUCCCCUUCAUUCCACUGAGACUGUGAUGGUAAUGUCUUUAGCUCUGUAAUUUAGAAUACUUGGAAAAAUCUUGUGAACUGUUUUGUAAAUAUACUUUCUUACAUUUGACUCCAAUGUGUAAAAUAUAUUGUAUAGUUUAAUCAAUUUUCUUUCUCAUGGAAAUUUCAAACAUUAAUUUCCUUGAGUUUUUUAGUAAUUUGUGAUUAGUUCUCCAGUAUAUUUUUUAAAAGAAUAGUUAAUCUUAAUAGUGUUAUAUUUAGGCUAUAUUGUUAAAAAAAGCUAAAAAUGAAAACAAACCUUAGCUCAUUUCAGUUUUUAUAUGUAUGCUUAUCCAUAAAAAGAAAGGAAUAGUUCUGUUUUGUAACCCUGACAAACUCCAAAUAUUUCCAAAUUUUUAAAUGUGUUUCUAUGUACUUGAGAUUCUUUGCCCUAAAUUUUGCUUUGAUAGCACACUCUAAACUCCCAGAGACAGGAGUUGUGUCCUCUGUAUUUUUUACGUAGUGUCAAGCAUCUGCAUUCUCAUGAAGGAAGCUUCUGCUGGGAAAAAAAUAAUCUAUGUUUUGCUAUUAUCUAUAGACCAAUUUUCUAAGCAGAAUAAGCAAAUUUGUCAAAAGGAUUUAGUUGGAUUUUUUUCUUCUUUUUCCAAAAUAACUAUGCUUAUAUUAUUUUUGACAGUAUAAUGGUUGAUUGAGUGUGAGUAAUUAAUCCUAUUCCCCAUAUUUUAAGGGUGAUCUAAUCCUGGAGCCCAGGAUUAACUAAUCCUAAAUUGCCCAGGUGGGUUAUGGAGCCUCCAUCCGUGGAGAUAGUUAAAACUCAACUGGACACAGCUCUUAACAGCCUGCUUUGGUUUUUCAAUGGGACAAGAGACGGAGUUCAACUGCAUUGAUUUAUGAGUGAAUAGCAUGUCCCAUUCAGUUCAUCCUAUGGCUAAUGUCACAGACAAAUGCUGGGGGAAUUCAGUGCUCUUUAACUCAGUUUUCAUAAGCUGCAGUUGCUCAUAGCUGAGAUAAAGGGACUGAUCUAGUUCUGAAUGAAGUCAACAUUUUUCUGAAAUGAGACCUAAGAUUCUUCUUCAGAACAAUAGGUCAAGAUAAGGAAGCUACACAGUUUUUCUUAUUUGUGUCUCUCAUUCAUUUUGGGGAGACCAUCCUUUGGUAAGUAUUCUCCUCAUUUUAAAAUUUCCAGUUUAAAUUCUUGGCAUCCUUUGUCCCUUUAGAU